UCCGAGUUGACCCCGGCAGUCUCUCACGAGUCCCCACCAUAACGUGCUGGCAACAUGAGACAAGGGUUGCGCUCGUUGCGGGACUUAACCCAACAUCUCACGACACGAGCUGACGUCAGCCAUGCAGCACCUGUGUCCACGCCCCUUGCGGGGAGGAAUCCAUCUCUGGAAGCCGUCGUGGCAUGUCAAGGGCUGGUAAGGUUCUUCGCGUUGCGUCGAAUUAAGCCACAUGCUCCGCUGCUUGUGCGGGCCCCCGUCAAUUCCUUUGAGUUUUAGCCUUGCGGCCGUACUCCCCAGGCGGGGAACUUAAUGCGCUAGCUGCGGCACCGACGACGUGGAAUGUCGCCAACACCUAGUUCCCACCGUUUACGGCGUGGACUAC
RNAcentral lists this unclassified non-coding RNA (382 nucleotides) under uncultured Actinomycetes bacterium. Its description in RNAcentral is "uncultured actinobacterium contains 16S-23S intergenic spacer region". The record is from RNAcentral. Lineage: Bacteria; Bacillati; Actinomycetota; Actinomycetes.